RNAcentral lists this ribosomal RNA (484 nucleotides) under uncultured bacterium. RNAcentral's name for it is "partial 16S ribosomal RNA". It matches the Rfam family "Bacterial small subunit ribosomal RNA", at positions 30 to 507 of the family's 1533-position model. The record is from RNAcentral.
AUUGAGCGCUGGCGGCAGGCCUAACACAUGCAAGUCGAGCGGAUGAAGGGAGCUUGCUCCUGGAUUCAGCGGCGGACGGGUGAGUAAUGCCUAGGAAUCUGCCUGGUAGUGGGGGAUAACGUCCGGAAACGGGCGCUAAUACCGCAUACGUCCUGAGGGAGAAAGUGGGGGAUCUUCGGACCUCACGCUAUCAGAUGAGCCUAGGUCGGAUUAGCUAGUUGGUGGGGUAAAGGCCUACCGAGGCGACGAUCCGUAACUGGUCUGAGAGGAUGAUCAGUCACACUGGAACUGAGACACGGUCCAGACUCCUACGGGAGGCAGCAGUGGGGAAUAUUGGACAAUGGGCGAAAGCCUGAUCCAGCCAUGCCGCGUGUGUGAAGAAGGUCUUCGGAUUGUAAAGCACUUUAAGUUGGGAGGAAGGGCAGUAAGUUAAUACCUUGCUGUUUUGACGUUACCAACAGAAUAAGCACCGGCUAACUUCGUG